UACGGGGGGAGCAAGCGUUGUUCGGAUUUACUGGGCGUAAAGAGCGCGCAGGCGGUCGUUCAAGUCGAGUGUGAAAGCCCCCGGCUCAACUGGGGAGGGUCAUUCGAUACUGUUCGACUCGAAGGCAGGAGAGGGAAGUGGAAUUCCCGGUGUAGUGGUGAAAUGCGUAGAUAUCGGGAGGAACACCAGUGGCGAAGGCGACUUCCUGGCCUGUUCUUGACGCUGAGGCGCGAAAGCUAGGGGAGCAAACGGG
RNAcentral lists this ribosomal RNA (253 nucleotides) under uncultured bacterium. RNAcentral's name for it is "partial 16S ribosomal RNA". It matches the Rfam family "Bacterial small subunit ribosomal RNA", at positions 524 to 776 of the family's 1533-position model. The record is from RNAcentral.